This 250-nucleotide ribosomal RNA is filed under the name uncultured bacterium. RNAcentral describes it as "partial 16S ribosomal RNA". It matches the Rfam family "Bacterial small subunit ribosomal RNA", at positions 89 to 339 of the family's 1533-position model. The record is from RNAcentral.
UGACGACUGGCGCACGGGUGCGUAACACGUAUGCAACCUACCUAUAACUGGAGCAUAGCCCCUCGAAAGAGGGAUUAAUACUCCAUAACAUAAUGAAAAGGCAUCUUUUUAUUAUUAAACCUCCGGGGGUUAAAGAUGGGCAUGCGUUGCAUUAGCUAGUUGGUGAGGUAAUGGCUCACCAAGGCUACGAUGCAUAGGGGUUCUGAGAGGAUAUACCCCCACACUGGUACUGAGACACGGACCAGACUCC